GAUGAACGCUGGCGGCGUGCUCAACACAUGCAAGUCGAACGGAAAGGCCCAAGCUUGCUUGGGUACUCGAGUGGCGAACGGGUGAGUAACACGUGGGUGAUCUGCCCUGCACUUCGGGAUAAGCCUGGGAAACUGGGUCUAAUACCGGAUAGGACCACUUCUUGGAUGUUGUGGUGGAAAGUUUUUUCGGUGUGGGAUGAGCUCGCGGCCUAUCAGCUUGUUGGUGGGGUAAUGGCCUACCAAGGCGUCGACGGGUAGCCGGCCUGAGAGGGUGUACGGCCACAUUGGGACUGAGAUACGGCCCAGACUCCUACGGGAGGCAGCAGUGGGGAAUAUUGCACAAUGGGCGCAAGCCUGAUGCAGCGACGCCGCGUGGGGGAUGACGGCCUUCGGGUUGUAAACUCCUUUCGCUAGGGACGAAGCGUUUUUGUGACGGUACCUGGAGAAGAAGCACCGGCUAACUACGUG
Molecule: ribosomal RNA, 468 nt
Filed under: uncultured bacterium
Lineage: Bacteria
Description: partial 16S ribosomal RNA
Rfam family: Bacterial small subunit ribosomal RNA
Source: RNAcentral